Long non-coding RNA from Passer domesticus (house sparrow), 1044 nucleotides. RefSeq lists it as uncharacterized. The transcript is spliced from 4 exons. NCBI's taxonomy places the organism in Eukaryota, Metazoa, Chordata, Aves, Passeriformes, Passeridae. The record is from RefSeq and is a predicted model, not a curated record.
AGGAGCUCUUCUGUCCUGCGUUUCUUUGCAGCUGAACCUGCUGGUGAAGGUGGUGCAGCUUCCCAAGCCAUGUCCAGGACGGAGCCUCUGGGAGAUGCUGAGGAAGUGAUGGACCAAAAAUCUGUGCAGAAGGAGGCACAUCCUGGAGGAAGCAUUUCCCCAUGGACAGCCCCUGUUGCUGGAAGGAAAGUGAUGCCAGACACGGGCACGGGCACAGCAGAUGCAGCCGGCACCACAACACGUGUUCCCGAUGCCCAGAAGGGCCUCGGAAGGGGCUUCUGUAUGGGAACAGGCUGCUGGACAGGGUUACUGGCAGGCCUGCUUUGUUUGGACCUUAUUCUCAUAUUGUGCUGUGUCAGAAUCUGGUGUUACUGGAAGAAGAAACGGAGCACCUCUGGAACUUCACCAGACCGGCCAAAGGCCUCAGUCAUGGAGAACUGGGCCUGUCAUGCUGCAUCUCCGUGCCAGUGUCUGUUGUCCCUUCCACAAGUGCAUUACCAGCUUAUAGCUGGAAAUAUGCCGCCACCACCACCCACCUCCCUCUCCAAAGGGACUGACCUUGCUCUCCAUCCAGGACAGGAGGUGCAGCCCUCUAGCCUAGGAAUGGAUUGUUGAAAAAGUUAUAUUUACUUGUAAAAAUUUUAAAUGUUUAUUAAAACCUUUAUUAAAAGUAUAACAAGAGACUGAAUUGGGAAAAUGUUAUGGCUCCAGGUAUAGAGGAUUUUCCCACCACGUGCUCAUCCACACAAUGGAGGUUUCACCUUUUAACUCUUUUGCCCUUCUUAAAGUUCUGUCCAUCAACUCCUUCUUUGAUGUCCAGUGGUGGAGUUUACUUCCGUACAUCUCGCUUGGAGGUCAGGUGCUGCUCUCGUAGCAAGGUGACCCUCUUAAAUGUCCCAAACUCGGGUAACCCCAUGAUAAAAACACAAGAGGGGGUAAAACAUAUCUGUAAGUGUAUAAUUCUUCUCUUAACAUGUAUACAUGAUAUUUAUCCUUUAAUUGUGAGAGUCAACUGUCACAUUACUCAUCUAUCACAGGCUUGAG